GCGGGGCAGGCGUGGGUGCACCCAGACCCCCCAACCCUGAUGUCCCCAAUACCAAGGGCAGAGAGCAGCCCUGGCCGGUCCUUGGAGGAUGCGGGCGCCGAGGGGGCCGGGGUCAGUCGGUUCAGAGUCGGAGCAUAAGCCCGGUGGCCGAGUCGGCCGGGUGGUGGGGCGCCGGGGGGGCCGGAGCCGGGCAGGGCAGUGACCCGCUUGCCGGGGUCAAAGUCGCCAGUGUGGGCCGCGGAAGAGGAGCGGCCAGGCGGGGCGCAGACACCCCUCACCCCAUCCUGGGCCGCGCCGGUGCCACCGGGCAGUCCUCGGGGCAGGAGCCCACCGAGGGGAGACAGCGCUGCCUCAGUCCGAGACCUCUGUGAAUGGCGGUGAUGGCUAAUGGGAUGAGGGGGACCACCUCCUGGUGGCUGCAGGGACUGGGGUGAGGGUGCUGUAGGCUCUGCCUAAGUCAAGUGCCAUGGGGCUGAAGAGACGGCGCACCGGCCCUGGAGAAGAGUCCUCCCUGCCCUCCUGUGUCUGGCCUUGUUUCCUGGAGGACAGGUCCCCACGGGGCAGAGGCCCAGCAGUCCCAGGGUCCUCAGCUUCCACCACCCCCAGGCGACGUCUGCUCACCCUGGCUGCCCGCAGCAAGAUUCCUGUUAUCUGGGUAGAGUCCUCAGCCUCCGCCACCCCCAGGCGAUGUCUGCUCACCUUGCCUGCCUUAAGCAAGAUUCCUGUUACCUGGGUUCCUUAGCCUCUGCCACCUCCAGGCCGUGUCUGCUAACCCUGUCUGCCGUCAGCAAGCUUCGUUUUACCUGGGUAGGUUCCUUAGCCUCUGCCACCUCCAGGCCGUGUCUGCUAACCCUGUCUGCCGUCAGCAAGCUUCAUUUUACCUGGGUAGGGUUCUCAGCCUCCGCCACCCCCAGGCGAUGUCUGCUAACCCUGCCUGCCCUCAGCAAGCUUCCUGUUUCC
Molecule: long non-coding RNA, 960 nt
Filed under: Homo sapiens (human)
Lineage: Eukaryota; Metazoa; Chordata; Mammalia; Primates; Hominidae
Description: HSALNT0246300
Source: RNAcentral